GACGAACGCUGGCGGCGUGCUUAACACAUGCAAGUCGAACGGAAAGGCCCCUUUGGGGGUCCUCGAGUGGCGAACGGGUGAGUAACACGUGAGUAACCUGCCCUUGACUUCGGGAUAACUUCAGGAAACUGGGGCUAAUACCGGAUAGGAAUCCUUGCUGCAUGGUGGGGGUUGGAAAGCUUCGGCGGUUUUGGAUGGACUCGCGGCGUAUCAGCUUGUUGGUGGGGUAGUGGCUUACCAAGGCUUUGACGGGUAGCCGGCCUGAGAGGGCGACCGGCCACAUUGGGACUGAGAUACGGCCCAGACUCCGACGGGAGGCAGCAGUGGGGAAUAUUGCACAAUGGGCGGAAGCCUGAGGCAGCAACGCCGCGUGCGGGAAGACGGCCUUCGGGUUGUAAACCGCUUUCAGCAGGGGCGAAGCUUGUGGUGACGGUACCUGCAGAAGAAGCACCGGCUAACUACGUG
Molecule: ribosomal RNA, 465 nt
Filed under: uncultured bacterium
Lineage: Bacteria
Description: partial 16S ribosomal RNA
Rfam family: Bacterial small subunit ribosomal RNA
Source: RNAcentral